GCAGGUAACGCAGGUGAGCAGUCGCACCCGGCACACGCAUCGGGCCGGGCCGCAUGCGUUAUGUGCUCUACACGCUACCUAAGUAAUACGUUACGUUGUGCAGUGCUGUAAAGUAAUUGCUUAAGUUUACAAGUGUUACUGAACGUGGGUGAGGCAACGAGUUGUGUGAUGCACCAUCGAUUGAGAUUUUGCACCUGAGUCUGACAUCGAAGAAGGACCAUUUUGGCAUCAGAUUGGAUUUUGCACCUGAGUCUGACAUCGUAGAAGGACCAUUCUUGCAUCAGAUUGGAUUUUGCAUCUGAGUCUGACAUCGUAGAAGGACCAUUCUUGCAUCAGAUUGGAUUUUGCACCUGAGUCUGACAUCGUAAAAGGACCAUUCUUGCAUCAGAUUGGAUUUUGCACCUGAGUCUGACAUCGUAGAAGGACCAUUCUUGCAUCAGAUUGUCAGUAUUUAAUUCUUUUAAAUAAAUUUUGUGAUUAUUACACGAUUUGAUUCACAAAAUGUAUGCUUGUGUGUUUUCUUUAAUAAAGAAUAUUUUUAAGUUUUUCUAAUUAAAA
Long non-coding RNA from Dalotia coriaria, 558 nucleotides. RefSeq lists it as uncharacterized. Lineage: Eukaryota; Metazoa; Arthropoda; Insecta; Coleoptera; Staphylinidae. The record is from RefSeq and is a predicted model, not a curated record. The transcript has 6 exons.